UACAGAGGUGGCGAGCGUUGUUCGGCCUCACGGGGCUUAAAGCGCGUGCAGGCGGCCCGGUAAGUGUUCUGUGAAAUCCGGCGGCUCAACCGCCGAACUGCAGGGCAUACUGCCGGGCUUGAGGUUGGUAGAGGCGCCUGGAACUCUAGGUGGAGCGGUGAAAUGCGUUGAUAUCUAGAGGAACGCCGGAGGCGAAAGCGGGGCGCUGGGCCAAAACUGACGCUGAGACGCGAAAGCGUGGGGAGCAAACAGG
This 253-nucleotide ribosomal RNA is filed under the name uncultured bacterium. Its description in RNAcentral is "partial 16S ribosomal RNA". It matches the Rfam family "Bacterial small subunit ribosomal RNA", at positions 524 to 776 of the family's 1533-position model. The record is from RNAcentral.